Molecule: ribosomal RNA, 405 nt
Filed under: uncultured bacterium
Lineage: Bacteria
Description: bacterial SSU rRNA
Rfam family: Bacterial small subunit ribosomal RNA
Source: RNAcentral
AGAGUUUGAUCCUGGCUCAGGACGAACGCUGGCGGCGUGCUUAACACAUGCAAGUCGAACGGACCAAGUGGAUAGCUUGCUAGAAGCUUGGUUAGUGGCGGACGGGUGAGUAACACGUGGAUAAUCUGCCUUUGACACUGGGACAACACUGUGAAAACGGUGCUAAUACCGGAUACCUUAGUUAGUUCACAUGAAUUGAUUAAGAAAGGAGCAAUCCGGUCAAAGAUGAGUCCGCGGCUGAUUAGCUAGUUGGUGAGGUAACGGCCCACCAAGGCGACGAUCAGUAGCCGGCCUGAGAGGGUGAACGGCCACACUGGGACUGAGACACGGCCCAGACUCCUACGGGAGGCAGCAGUGGGGAAUCUUCCGCAAAGGACGAAAGUCUGACGGAGCAACGCCGCGUGA